CAGAUACAAAGUCGUCAAGUUCCCCACCACCGCAUCCGAAAUCGCCAUCUCUUUCUUGAUCCUUUUUCUUUUUGAAUUUCUCUCUCUCGCUUGAGAAAUUAAAAUUCGUUCACUGCAUGUGCAAGGAAGAUGGGUUUAAAAAAGCCCUCUUUACUUUGGAGUGAGAAUUACGAAAAAAGGAAUGCUUGGAGUUGGAGAGAGUGAGGGAGGUCGUCCUCCCGCAUCGAGUUGAGCUUAUCUUCUUUUUUUAAAAAAAAAAAAUUAGUGCUUUCGGGAAAAUAUUAUGCACCCACUUAACACGCAUUGACUUAUUAAAGAAAAAGAAAUAAAUACAUAAAUAUUUCGACAGCACAAAAAAAAAAAUUUGUUUUUGACGCGUGUGUUCAAGUUGGCCUGUCAUUAUGGUUCUUACACACGUGGCUGUACACCAUUCCUUCGUAUCAACAGAUCUUGCAUAGAAUAUUAAAACUCAGGCACACAAACGACAGCGUUUGGAGCUCACAACAAAGUGGAUUUUUUUUUUUUUUUUUUGAGGAAAGUGGAUAUUAGCUCCAGUCUUUUUUAUUUCGGACACUUUCUUAAUUCUGAUAGGUGUUAGGCUGGCAAUGCCUAUCCCCUAUCGGUUUUUUUUAUGGGUUAAUGAGCAGGAUAGAAAAGACCCGCCUCCAACCGUGUUUAAUCGGAUUGUUUCAGUAGCACAAAAACCCAAAACUACGAAAUAGUGGGCCACCGUUAAUAUUAGAAUAUAGGGAUAAUUUCACAAACCUCCCCUGAGGGUUUUAAUAAUUACAGUGAGUCCCCCUUAAGUUUAAACAAUUACAUAUACAUUCCCCAUUUUUACUAUCUAUGUCUAGGUUCAAUAAACCAAAUUUUCUCUUGAAAAUACUAAAUUACUUUUUUGUACAAAACAAAAAGAGAAAAUACAAUGCACUAAAUCGGUUUCUUCCAUACUUUACAUAAAUCUAUUACCUUAAUUCCUAACAAUUAUCCAAGUAUCAACUUCAAUUCUAAUUCAAGUAGCCAUUCAAAAGAUUCCAAAUUGCAUAUACAGCAUUAAUGCUUAUUACGCAAAAAAAAAAAAAAAUACACACACACACAUACACACACUUUCUCUCACUAACAAACAAUUUUAUACUCCAAAAUUAAAUGUUAAUGCCCUAACACCUUUCCAAUACUUACAACCGGUUCUGCUGCGGAAGCCUGAACCGGACUUGAGACGCCGGGGACUUGACGGCCACGCCGUGCCAGCAGAUGCCACCCCGGCACAUUUCGUGCCCAUCAUGCCGCCCACCGCUAGUACUGUUGCUGCGAUCGUGCCGUGUCAGCGCAUACGUGGCCUUACGGGACACGUCCCACGUCAGACUGGCAAUCAAGAGUACGCCCACCACCGCCGUGGAUGCAAGCAGCACAAAUCCUCCACCGAAGCUCUUCCCACUUGCCAAUCCAUAAGCCUUCAGCGCCGCUAUCGCCACCAGAUACAGAGUCGUCAAGUUCCCACCACCGCAUCCGAAAUCGCCAUCUCUUUCUUGAUCCUUUUUCUUUUUGAAUUUCUCUCUCUCGCUUGAGAAAUUAAAAUUCGUUCACUGCAUGUGCAAGGAAGAUGGGUUUAAAAAAGCCCUCUUUAUUUUGGAGUGAGAAUUACGAAAAAAGGAAUGCUUGGUGUUGGAGAGAGUGAGGGAGGUCGUCCUCCCGCAUCGAGUUGAGCUU
RNAcentral lists this long non-coding RNA (1707 nucleotides) under Coffea arabica (coffee). RNAcentral's name for it is "long non-coding RNA (CARA_LNC006674)". The record is from RNAcentral. Lineage: Eukaryota; Viridiplantae; Streptophyta; Magnoliopsida; Gentianales; Rubiaceae.